AACCUGCGGAGGGAUCAUUACAGAGUUAUCCAACUCCCAAACCCAUGUGAACUUAUCUCUUUGUUGCCUCGGCGCAAGCUACCCGGGACCUCGCGCCCCGGGGCGGCCCGCCGGCGGACAAACCAAAACUCUUGUUAUCUUAGUUGAUUAUCUGAGUGUCUUAUUUAAUAAGUCAAAACUUUCAACAACGGAUCUCUUGGUUCUGGCAUCGAUGAAGAACGCAGCGAAAUGCGAUAAGUAAUGUGAAUUGCAGAAUUCAGUGAAUCAUCGAAUCUUUGAACGCACAUUGCGCCCAUUAGUAUUCUAGUGGGCAUGCCUGUUCGAGCGUCAUUUCAACCCCUAAGCACAGCUUAUUGUUGGGAACCUACGGCUUCGUAGUUCCUCAAAGACAUUGGCGGAGUGGCAGUGGUCCUCUGAGCGUAGUAAUCUUUUAUCUCGCUUCUGUUAGGUGCUGCCCCCCCGGCCGUAAAACCCCCAAUUUUUUCUGGUUGACCUCGGAUCAGGUAGGAAUACCCGCUGAACUUAAGCAUAUC
RNAcentral lists this ribosomal RNA (533 nucleotides) under Nigrospora sphaerica. RNAcentral describes it as "eukaryotic LSU rRNA". The stretch from base 177 to 330 matches the Rfam family "5.8S ribosomal RNA". Lineage: Eukaryota; Fungi; Ascomycota; Sordariomycetes; Amphisphaeriales; Apiosporaceae. The record is from RNAcentral.